RNAcentral lists this ribosomal RNA (403 nucleotides) under uncultured bacterium. RNAcentral's name for it is "partial 16S ribosomal RNA". It matches the Rfam family "Bacterial small subunit ribosomal RNA", at positions 28 to 526 of the family's 1533-position model. The record is from RNAcentral.
GACGAACGCUGGCGGCGUGCCUAAUACAUGCAAGUCGAACGCAAUGGGGACGGGGGAGUAACACGUGGGUAACCUCCCAUCAGAGGGGAUAACACUUGGAAACAGGUGCUAAACCGAUACUGAUGGAUGGACCCGCGGUGCAUUAGCUAGUUUGGGAGGUAACGGCCCACCAAGGCCACGAUGCAUAGCAGACCGGAGGGGGGGACCGGCAACACUGGGACUGAGACACGGCCCAGAUUCCUACGGGAGGAAGCAGUAGGGAAUCUGCGGCAAUGGACGAAAGUCUGACCGAGAAACGCCGCGUGAGUGAAGAAGGUUUUCGGAUCGUAAAACUCUGUUGUUAGAGAAGCGGUAUCUAACCAGAAAGCCACGGCUAACUACGUGCCAGCAGCCGCGGUAAUUC